RNAcentral lists this ribosomal RNA (508 nucleotides) under bacterium enrichment culture clone ALO1_GLFRUDD03GAUHU. Its description in RNAcentral is "bacterial SSU rRNA". It matches the Rfam family "Bacterial small subunit ribosomal RNA", at positions 9 to 511 of the family's 1533-position model. The record is from RNAcentral.
GAGUUUGAUCUUGGCUCAGAUUGAACGCUGGCGGCAUGCCUUACACAUGCAAGUCGAACGGCAGCACGGGAGCUUGCUCCUGGUGGCGAGUGGCGAACGGGUGAGUAAUGCAUCGGAACGUAUCCUGGAGUGGGGGAUAACGUAGCGAAAGUUACGCUAAUACCGCAUAUUCUGUGAGCAGGAAAGCGGGGGACCUUCGGGCCUCGCGCUCUUGGAGCGGCCGAUGUCGGAUUAGCUAGUUGGUGAGGUAAAGGCUCACCAAGGCGACGAUCCGUAGCAGGUCUGAGAGGAUGAUCUGCCACGCUGGAACUGAGACACGGUCCAGACUCCUACGGGAGGCAGCAGUGGGGAAUUUUGGACGAUGGGGGCAACCCUGAUCCAGCCAUGCCGCGUGUGUGAAGAAGGUCUUCGGAUUGUAAAGCACUUUAAGUUGGGAGGAAGGGCAGUAAGUUAAUACCUUGCUGUUUGACGUUACCGACAGAAUAAGCACCGGCUAACUCUGUGCCAG